This 3541-nucleotide long non-coding RNA is filed under the name Linum usitatissimum (flax). RNAcentral describes it as "long non-coding RNA (LUSI_LNC008074)". The record is from RNAcentral. Lineage: Eukaryota; Viridiplantae; Streptophyta; Magnoliopsida; Malpighiales; Linaceae.
CCAUAACCCAAAACCGAAAAAUCAGUAACAUGACCGGCUCGAUGGUUAAUUACUUAAUUCUCUGGAAUGGAGAUGGUCUAAUAAUAAUAAGUUGGUGAGUAAAUUUACCUGAUGAGGUCUCUGUCAAGGCUCGAAGCAGAGAGCAUUCCUCUGUUCUCUUCAGCCCUCCUAACCAAAUAAGGCAUCACUAUAUCAAUCUCUCCAAACGGCAUGUAUUUACUAACUCGAAACCCGGCAUUCUUCAGCCCCAUCGAAAGCGAUUCCCCCAUCCCGUAAAGCUGUGCAAACUCCAGCCUCUUCUCCUCCAUUCCCAUUAUCCCCAUCUCUCUGGCCCUGGUAGCCGCCAGCCUGGCCGAUUCUACAUUAUGCGUCGCCAGAACCAACCCAUCGUUCGUUCCCAAGCCAGAAUUACCAAUCCGAUCGAUCAUAAACCUCGCGCAAUCGUUGUAACAAUCGUGAGUGUCCUGAAUCGUGUCAUGGACGGGAGACUCGAAUCCGAGUUUCGAAGCCAGCAGUCUCUCGCUCGACAUAUAGGCGCCUCUGACAAGCUUGAACCCCAUAGCCAAACCCAUCUUGUCUGCAGCCUUUGUAGCCAUGAGUAGCCUAUCCUUGGCAUCCUUCAAGUAAGCCUGGAUGGUGUUGUACACCAAAGGUGUGUCCUUUGUGUUGUAAACAGCGGCUGCCGUGUAGGUGAAGUAAUCGAUGGCCGGUUGGAGCUUGGUGUCCUCUGCAUCGAUGGUGAGAGGUAUGUUCGAUUCCGAGCAUCUUUGGCAGAGAAUGUCGAGUCUUUUGUGGGCUAGUUGGAGGUCUUGUUCUUCUUCUUCUGUGAGUUGAGCUGGUUGGGUUAGAGUGUGGUACAAUGGGCUUGAUUCUGAGAAAAUUGGCAACGAGGAAUUUGAAGAUUGUUUCCAUGGCAGGUGGAAAUUUGACGGCUGCCGUUGUUGCCACCGGAGUAAGUCGCUGAUCCGCUCAAGCAGUGUCAGUGGGCAAAUGGCCGUCAUCUUGAUUGGUACGAAACUCACCUUUUGGAAAACAAAACAAAACAUUAAAGUGGGUCAAGUUGGAGGAAGAUACGUAUAAAAAUUUGGAUCUUCCUCAUUUGUUGGAAUCUCCCACUCCCACUUGCAAAAGUGAAAAGAAUCUUGUCUUGGUUUUUUGUUCUUAUUUUUCAUUAAAAUGGAAUCUACUAAUAAGUUAAAAGAAUGAAGAAAAGAUACUCACCGAAGAUGCUGGAAGAGAGGCAGCGGAAUCCACCGUCUCGAGGAACCCUUCCAAAUUCCGAUCACAAGCCUCGUUGUCAGGGGUGUACUCCACGGCAAAAUCCAGCAUGGCGCGUAGCCCGGACUCGUUCAGCUCCCUAACCUUCUCACGCGCCUCCGCAGAAGUCUCCCCGCCGCAGAAAUGCUCGUAGAACGUCCGCCUCACAACCCCGUACACCAGCCCCCGCACGGCUUCCACCUCCAUGAGGCGCGACGUCAGCACCUUCGAACCGACGUCCACCACCACCUCCGACGCCGACGCGUGGAGGACGGCGGAGGCGUGGAUCAGCUUCUGAAGGGGCACGGCGCCGUACAGUUCCCGGUGAUCGUCCAGCUGUAGGAUGGAGGUUGGCGACGCCGGAGGAGGUGGGGUGGUAGUACUGCCGAAGGUUGUGGCCGGGAUGUCCACGUCGACGUGGGUGGUCAAGCUGAGAGGUGGGGCGGCGGCGGAGAAAGAUGAAGGGGAGGAGUUGAGGUGCCUGACAACGGCGCUGUGACGGAGGAGGAAUUUGGUGGCGGUUUUGGCAGUGGUGGCCAUCAAUGUCGGAAAACAGAAUCAAGAAGUUUGUCCCUUUGGUGGUGUAAUUUGUUUUCCGAUGGGUGAGUGAGCAUUUGUUGUAGGAAGUGAAGGCUCUUUUAUAGGCAACAGAAGUAAUAUUUUACUAUUAUUUUCUCAUUUUUCUUAUUCAACUAGAUUCAACGGCGGAUGCAUGUGGUCCAAGUGGGUGUGACUGGACCCCACUUUAGUCAGAAAAAAUAAUAUAUCCAUUGUAAAUCUGCGUGUUGCCACGUACUACAUGACAAAUCAAAAACAGCUGUUCCGACGGUAGCCAUUGUUCUCGAUUCAGCUUCCCCGACAUUGCACCUUUCAGCCUUCUCUUCCAAUCCUUACUCUUCAAGGAAAGCAUUUAAUUCAAAGACUAAUAUGGACCCUAAGAUUAUGCCGCUCGACUAAUCUAAUGGUCCAUAUUAAAACGUGAAUCACCUAACCACUCGACCAUAUUGUUUACUUUAAUUUUAAUAGUGGUUGGUUCAUGAUAAGUACGUUGUUGUAACUUGUAACAUGGCAUAUAACUUUGGACAUGUUACAUUUUCUGUAACAUGGCAUAUUACAAUUAAUAUUUGACAGUUCCCAGAAGUUAGGAAACAGAAAUUGUCAGCUGCUUGGUUUGUAAAAUAUUUUAUUUAUACCCCGUAAUAUUAAAAUAAGCAGUCAAAUUGUGGGGAACAAACCACACCCAACCUGCACUAGAAAGGGCCGUACAUUUACUUAGUAGGUGCGAGUGACGACUGACAAUCACGAGCUGCAUUCCUUGUUCGUUCGUUCAUAUCUCUAUACAAAUCCAAACAGCUGUUCCCCACGCUGCUUAUCUUCCUGCGUGUUGCCACGUACUACAUGACAAAUUGAUCCCAAACAGCUGUUCCCCAGGACUGUUUCUUAAUUCAGCUUCCCCAAGAUUCCAGCUUUCAUCCUUCUCUGCAACUCCUUUCUGCAAUUACCAAAACCCAAAUAACUAGUUGCAUGGUUGCCUGGAUGGUUAUAGUUUCUUAAUAAUUAAUAUUACUAAUAAAGACUAUUAUUGACUAAUAACCUGAUGAGCUGUCUGUCAACCCUGGAAGCAGAGAGCAUUCCUCUGUUCUCUUCACUCCUCCUAACCAAAUACGGCAUCACUAUAUCAAUCGCUCCAAACGGCAUGUACUUACUAACUCGAAACCCGGCAUUCUUCGGCCCCAUCGAAAGCGAUUCCCCCAUCCCGUAAAGCUGUGCAAACUCCAGCCUCUCUGGCUCUAUUAGCCGCUAGCCUCCCCGAUUCGACAUUAUGCGUCGCCAGAACCAACCCAUCCGAAGAAUUCGAGUUACCAAUCCGGUCGAUCAUAAACCUCGCGCAAUCGUUGUAACAUUCGUGAGUGUCCCGAAUCGUGUCGUGGACAGGAGACCCGAAUCCGAGUUUCGAAGCCAAAACUCUCUCGCUAGACAUGUAAGCUCCUCUGACAAGCUUGAACCCCAUAGCCAACCCCAUCUUAUCAGUAGCCUUUGUAGCCAUGAGUAGCCUAUCCUUGGCGUCCUUCAAGUAAACCUGGAUGGUGUUGUACACCAAAGGUGUGUCCUUUGUGUUGUAAAUGACGGCUGAAGUGUAGGUGAAGUAAUCGAUGGCCGGUUGGAGCUUGGUGUCCUCUGCAUCGAUGGUGAGAGGGAUGUUCGAUUCCGAGCAUCUUUGGCAGAGAGUGUUGAGUCUUUUGUGGGCUAGUUGGAGGUCUUGUUCUUCCUCCUCUGUGAGUUG